RNAcentral lists this long non-coding RNA (258 nucleotides) under Fukomys damarensis (Damara mole-rat). RNAcentral's name for it is "lncRNA (ENSFDAG00000028849.1)". Lineage: Eukaryota; Metazoa; Chordata; Mammalia; Rodentia; Bathyergidae. The record is from RNAcentral.
CUUGAUUUAUUUUAGUCUCUACAAUUUGGAAGACAAGAAAAGUGUUAUGAAAUGGUAAAUUUUUAGAAGUGACCAAGAUGAUAUACACUUUGCUUCCACUUCUGCUGAGAAAAGAAGUCAUCAUAGAUCUUGGAGCCAUGAUGAUUGAAUGUGGGGCCUGGUGAUUGAAGUUUAUGGAUACUUGGUGACUUCCCACAUCGACACAAUGUCAGCAACACAGAAUGCAUGUUUUCUUUAUGGACUGAAACACCCGAAGAC